UUCGCAAUGCCCGAAAGGGUGACGAUGCGACGCCGCGUGAGCGAAGAAGGCCCUAGGGUUGUAAAGCUCUGUCGAGGGUUAUGAAAUAUAGAUGGGUUAAUACCCCAUUUAUUUGACAAAAGCCCAAAAGGAAGCCACGGCUAACUCUGUGCCAGCAGCCGCGGUAAUACAGAGGUGGCGAGCGUUGUUCGGUAUUAUUGGGCGUAAAGAGCACGUAGGUGGUUUUGUAAGUCAGGUGUGAAAGCCUUCUGUUCAAAGGAAGAACGGCAUCUGAAACUGCAGAUCUUGAGUGUAGGAGGGGAGAGCGGAACUUCUGGUGGAGCGGUGAAAUGCGUAGAUAUCAGAAGGAACGUCGGCGGCGAAAGCGACUCUCUGGCCUAUUACUGACACUGAGGUGCGAAAGUUAGGGGAGCAAACGGGAUUAGAUACCCCGGUAGUCCUAACCGUAAACGAUGGGCACUAAGUAGAGGGGUUUU
This 476-nucleotide ribosomal RNA is filed under the name uncultured anaerobic ammonium-oxidizing bacterium. Its description in RNAcentral is "bacterial SSU rRNA". It matches the Rfam family "Bacterial small subunit ribosomal RNA", at positions 365 to 832 of the family's 1533-position model. The record is from RNAcentral.